GAAAUGCGAUAAGUAGUGUGAAUUGCAGACUUUAGUGAAUCAUCGAAUCUUUGAACGCACAUUGCGCCCCUUGGUAUUCCACUGGGCAUGCCUGUUCGAGCGUCAUUUGACCCCUCAAGCCCCGCUUGGUGUUGGGCGUCUGUCCUGCGCGCCCGCGCGGACUCGCCCCAAAGGCAUUGGCAGCGGCCCCGUCGGCUCCUCGCGUAGCACAUUGCGCUCCGGGGGCCCCCGGGGCUCGCGUCCACAAGAUCACCAUCUUUGACCUCGAAUCAGGUAGGGAUACCCGCUGAACUUAA
This 296-nucleotide unclassified non-coding RNA is filed under the name uncultured Pleosporales. RNAcentral's name for it is "sequence contains ITS1". The stretch from base 1 to 105 matches the Rfam family "5.8S ribosomal RNA", at positions 50 to 154 of the family's 154-position model. The record is from RNAcentral. Lineage: Eukaryota; Fungi; Ascomycota; Dothideomycetes; Pleosporales.